GAUGAACGCUGGCGGCGUGCCUAAUACAUGCAAGUCGAGCGAACGGACGAGAAGCUUGCUUCUCUGAUGUUAGCGGCGGACGGGUGAGUAGCACGUGGAUAACCUACCUAUAAGACUGGGAUAACUUCGGGAAACCGGAGCUAAUACCGGAUGAUAUUUUGAACCGCAUGGUUCAAAAGUGAAGGACGGUCUUGCUGUCACUUAUAGAUGGAUCCGCGCUGCAUUAGCUAGUUGGUAAGGUAACGGCUUACCAAGGCAACGAUGCAUAGCCGACCUGAGAGGGUGAUCGGCCACACUGGAACUGAGACACGGUCCAGACUCCUACGGGAGGCAGCAGUAGGGAAUCUUCCGCAAUGGGCGAAAGCCUGACGGAGCAACGCCGCGUGAGUGAUGAAGGUCUUCGGAUCGUAAAACUCUGUUAUUAGGGAAGAACAUAUGUGUAAGUAACUGUGCACAUCUUGACGGUACCUAAUCAGAAAGCCACGGCUAACUACGUG
RNAcentral lists this ribosomal RNA (497 nucleotides) under uncultured bacterium. RNAcentral's name for it is "partial 16S ribosomal RNA". It matches the Rfam family "Bacterial small subunit ribosomal RNA", at positions 28 to 507 of the family's 1533-position model. The record is from RNAcentral.